AUGGGAGAGCUUAGGACUCUUGCGGUAGAAGCAAAUGCUCGACAUGAGAGUUACAAGAUUGAUGAUUGCAAGCCUAGCUAUGGUUUUGUAGUUGUCGACCCUCGGCUUCCCACGAUCUACCAGGAGGCAAUCGGCCUUGUGGGCAUUGACGGCCCAAUGGAGGAGGUUUCCAAUUGGUUGAUGGAUACUCAGAAAAAACUCAAGGUUGUUUCUAUUGUGGGUUUCGGAGGUCUGGGUAAAACUACACUUGCCAAACAGGUGUAUGACAAGAUCAAGGAAAAUUUUGAUUGUGUAGCAUUCAUUUCAGUUUCACUGAGGCCUGAUAUGAGAGUAAUUCUCAAUCGCCUAAAAUUGAAAUUUAGGAUAAAUGAGUGUUCUAACGAUCACGGAUUUGACGACAUCAUUGAAGAGCUAAGGAAGUAUCUUGCAUAUAAAAGGUACCUUAUUGUAGUUGAUGACUUGUGGGAUCAAUCAGCAUGGAAUAUUAUUAGUUGUGCUUUUCCAGAUAAUGGUAAUGGGAGCAGAGUAUUAGUAACCACGCGAGUUGAAGAUGUGACUAGUGUGGCAUGUUGCUGUGACCGUGAAUGCAUUUACACAAUGAAGCCUCUCAAUGAACAAAACUCAGGAAUGCUAUUCUCUAAUAGAGUAUUUGGGGAGGAAGUUGUUUGUCUACCCCAUCUUGAAGAUCUCAUGGCCGAAAUUCUGAAGAAGUGUGGCGGAUUGCCGCUUGCAAUAAUCACUAUAGCUAGCCUGUUAGCUACUCACGUGAGAUCAAGGAAACACUGGGAGAGCAUAAGAAAAUCUUUGCGUGCCCAAUCUUCUCCAAAUCCUUCAUUGAAAGAGAUAAAAAAUAUAUUAAACCUUAGCUACACACAUCUUCCUCUUCAUCUCCGGGCAUGUUUUUUGUACCUUGGUAUGUAUCCUGAGGACCACAUCAUAAGGCGGGAUCAGCUGGAACAAUGGAUGGCUGAAGGCUUCGUCAGCAGUUUGCCUGGCCCAGAUUUGGAGGAUGUUGGCAGGAGUUAUUUCAAUGAGCUCGUCAAUAGAAGCAUGAUUCAGCCAUCGGAAAUCGAGUAUGGAGAGGUGUUGUCUUGCACAAUACAUGACAUGAUGCUUGAUUUGAUCCUAAGCAAGUGUGUAGAAGAUAAUUUUAUAAGUGUGGCAUACAAUUCUGAGGACAUGGAAAGGCUGCUACAUCACUGCAGAUACAAGGUUCUCCGAUUAUCCCUGAGCUCCAUGGCUGUUGGUGGGUCAACAUUUGGCACGACUAUUGCUGCUAGGCUGUCACAAGUUCGAUCAUUAUUGUUCAAGAACCAUAUACUGCCUCUUUUAUGGUUCAAGUACCUCAGGGUGCUAAUCAUUUUUGGUGGGCACUGUGGGUCAGAGAUAAUUGACCUCACUGCUGUUAGCCAAUUGUUUCAGCUGAGAUGUCUGAUGGUAAAUGCUUAUGGGAAAAUAAAGCUCCCUACUAAACUUGGUAAGCUUGUUUACUUGGAGACACUAGACAUAGAAAAUUCCACAUUGAUGGAGUGCAUCCCAUCAGAUAUAGUACAUUUGCCCCGCCUGUCUCAUCUGCUUCUUAGAAAGUCUACACACCUGCCUAAAGGUAUCGGGAAUAUGAAAUCAUUGUGUACUCUGCGAGGGCUUGACAUGAAAAAGAGCUCGCUGGAAUGUUUUGUGGGUCUCGGCGAGCUGACCAAUUUAAGGGAACUGCAUAUGUCAUUAGGUGAUCUUAGUUUGAGUUUCCCAAAAGUUGAUGCUUUGACUUGCUCCAUUGGAAAACUCUGUAACCUUGAACGUCUGAGCAUCUCUGGCAAUCAUGUUGAGCAUGACGAUAACCAGCAGCUGGACUCAUUAUCCAAUCCUUUUCAACAUAUUGAGUGUCUUGAAUUGCAAUUUUUGUGUUAUGGAGAGUUCCAAAAUGGUUGUGUGGUCUCCAUUGCCUGAGCUUCCUCUCCCUGUUUGUUGAAGUGA
RNAcentral lists this ribosomal RNA (1974 nucleotides) under Triticum aestivum (bread wheat). RNAcentral's name for it is "partial small subunit ribosomal RNA". The record is from RNAcentral. Lineage: Eukaryota; Viridiplantae; Streptophyta; Magnoliopsida; Poales; Poaceae.